RNAcentral lists this transfer RNA (72 nucleotides) under Camelus bactrianus (Bactrian camel). It matches the Rfam family "tRNA". Rfam says of the family: Transfer RNA (tRNA) molecules are approximately 80 nucleotides in length. RNAcentral also lists the same sequence under 2 other names. Lineage: Eukaryota; Metazoa; Chordata; Mammalia; Artiodactyla; Camelidae. The record is from Rfam by way of RNAcentral.
GAAGGUAUAGCUCAGUGGUAAAGUGCCUGCCUAGCAUGCACAAGGUCCUGGGUUCAAUCCCCAGCACCUCCA